UUAAGCGUGUAGGCUGGUUUUCCAGGCAAAUCCGGAAAAUCAAGGCUGAGGCGUGAUGACGAGGCACUACGGUGCUGAAGCAACAAAUGCCCUGCUUCCAGGAAAAGCCUCUAAGCAUCAGGUAACAUCAAAUCGUACCCCAAACCGACACAGGUGGUCAGGUAGAGAAUACCAAGGCGCUUGAGAGAACUCGGGUGAAGGAACUAGGCAAAAUGGUGCCGUAACUUCGGGAGAAGGCACGCUGAUAUGUAGGUGAAGCGACUUGCUCGUGGAGCUGAAAUCAGUCGAAGAUACCAGCUGGCUGCAACUGUUUAUUAAAAACACAGCACUGUGCAAACACGAAAGUGGACGUAUACGGUGUGACGCCUGCCCGGUGCCGGAAGGUUAAUUGAUGGGGUCAGCGCAAGCGAAGCUCUUGAUCGAAGCCCCGGUAAACGGCGGCCGUAACUAUAACGGUCCUAAGGUAGCGAAAUUCCUUGUCGGGUAAGUUCCGACCUGCACGAAUGGCGUAAUGAUGGCCAGGCUGUCUCCACCCGAGACUCAGUGAAAUUGAACUCGCUGUGAAGAUGCAGUGUACCCGCGGCAAGACGGAAAGACCCCGUGAACCUUUACUAUAGCUUGACACUGAACAUUGAGCCUUGAUGUGUAGGAUAGGUGGGAGGCUUUGAAGUGUGGACGCCAGUCUGCAUGGAGCCGACCUUGAAAUACCACCCUUUAAUGUUUGAUGUUCUAACGUUGACCCGUAAUCCGGGUUGCGGACAGUGUCUGGUGGGUAGUUUGACUGGGGCGGUCUCCUCCUAAAGAGUAACGGAGGAGCACGAAGGUUGGCUAAUCCUGGUCGGACAUCAGGAGGUUAGUGCAAUGGCAUAAGCCAGCUUGACUGCGAGCGUGACGGCGCGAGCAGGUGCGAAAGCAGGUCAUAGUGAUCCGGUGGUUCUGAAUGGAAGGGCCAUCGCUCAACGGAUAAAAGGUACUCCGGGGAUAACAGGCUGAUACCGCCCAAGAGUUCAUAUCGACGGCGGUGUUUGGCACCUCGAUGUCGGCUCAUCACAUCCUGGGGCUGAAGUAGGUCCCAAGGGUAUGGCUGUUCGCCAUUUAAAGUGGUACGCGAGCUGGGUUUAGAACGUCGUGAGACAGUUCGGUCCCUAUCUGCCGUGGGCGCUGGAGAACUGAGGGGGGCUGCUCCUAGUACGAGAGGACCGGAGUGGACGCAUCACUGGUGUUCGGGUUGUCAUGCCAAUGGCACUGCCCGGUAGCUAAAUGCGGAAGAGAUAAGUGCUGAAAGCAUCUAAGCACGAAACUUGCCCCGAGAUGAGUUCUCCCUGACUCCUUGAGAGUCCUGAAGGAACGUUGAAGACGACGACGUUGAUAGGCCGGGUGUGUAAGCGCAGCGAUGCGUUGAGCUAACCGGUACUAAUGAACCGUGAGG
Molecule: ribosomal RNA, 1429 nt
Filed under: Escherichia coli
Lineage: Bacteria; Pseudomonadati; Pseudomonadota; Gammaproteobacteria; Enterobacterales; Enterobacteriaceae
Description: partial 23S ribosomal RNA
Rfam family: Bacterial large subunit ribosomal RNA
Source: RNAcentral